Molecule: ribosomal RNA, 327 nt
Filed under: Triticum aestivum (bread wheat)
Lineage: Eukaryota; Viridiplantae; Streptophyta; Magnoliopsida; Poales; Poaceae
Description: partial small subunit ribosomal RNA
Source: RNAcentral
AUGCGGUCCACCCGUGGGAACCCAGUAAGCUGGGAUCACCCCACCAUCUUUUGCACGCUCCCGCCACACUUCCUUUGCACCGGUAUCUCCAUGAGCUACCGGAACCGAUAUGUUGUCGUGGCAUCAUUUUCGGAUUCAUUGCCAUGGCAUCCCUUUCGUUUCCGCCAUGAUGACAAAUGCUUCAUAACAUGCUCUUAUCAACAUUUUCAUAGAAAUUGCAUAACACAUGCAAAUGUCAUCCGCAUCAUGAUAACAACAUCAAGAAUGUUUAAACUGCUGUUUACAUUAAUUUGCUCAUAUGCCAUGUUAAAAAGCUUUAUUUCAUAA